CAACCUGCCGUCUACUCUUGGACAGCCUUCUGAAAGGAAGAUUAAUACAAGAUGGCAUCAUGAGUCCNCAUGUUCACAUGAUUAAAGGUAUUCCGGUAGACGAUGGGGAUGCGUUCCAUUAGAUAGUAGGCGGGGUAACGGCCCACCUAGUCUUCGAUGGAUAGGGGUUCUGAGAGGAAGGUCCCCCACAUUGGAACUGAGACACGGUCCAAACUCCUACGGGAGGCAGCAGUGAGGAAUAUUGGUCAAUGGGCGAGAGCCUGAACCAGCCAAGUAGCGUGAAGGAUGACUGCCCUAUGGGUUGUAAACUUCUUUUAUAAAGGAAUAAAGUCGGGUAUGAUACCCGUUUGCAUGUACUUUAUGAAUAAGGAUCGGCUAACUCCGUGCCAGCAGCCGCGGUAAUACGGAGGAUCCGAGCGUUAUCCGGAUUUAUUGGGUUUAAAGGGAGCGUAGAUGGAUGUUUAAGUCAGUUGUGAAAGUUUGCGGCUCAACCGUAAAAUUGCAGUUGAUACUGGAUAUCUUGAGUGCAGUUGAGGCAGGCGGAAUUCGUGGUGUAGCGGUGAAAUGCUUAGAUAUCACGAAGAACUCCGAUUG
RNAcentral lists this ribosomal RNA (594 nucleotides) under uncultured Bacteroidota bacterium. Its description in RNAcentral is "bacterial SSU rRNA". It matches the Rfam family "Bacterial small subunit ribosomal RNA", at positions 122 to 715 of the family's 1533-position model. Lineage: Bacteria; Pseudomonadati; Bacteroidota. The record is from RNAcentral.